RNAcentral lists this unclassified non-coding RNA (1887 nucleotides) under Drosophila melanogaster (fruit fly). RNAcentral describes it as "omega-pre-c transcript". The stretch from base 1386 to 1472 matches the Rfam family "Heat shock gene hsromega conserved region 2". Lineage: Eukaryota; Metazoa; Arthropoda; Insecta; Diptera; Drosophilidae. The record is from RNAcentral.
ACUCUCAAAUGAAAAGUGUUCAAGUGCAUUCAAAGUGAAGCUGAAAAAAUAACCAGUUAAAAAUAGUACAAAGAAAUUUUCUUUCUUGCAAUUUGCAAGCAGUAGCUACAACCAAAAAUGGAAAAGUGUAAAAAUCGUGUCCCAGCAGACGAGCAGCAGCAGUACGAGUAUUGCAAAAUGCAGGGGCAAGGGCCCACGUAGUAUUUUUCCACGUCGGGCAUUUAAUGCUCUCGAGUUGGAAACAAAGAAACCAUACGCAAACCCCCUGGAAAAGAUGUGAUUAGUCAUCGAUUUUGCUGGUCAGCGUCGGGGAAUUUCGCAAUGCAGCAGGCAGUUUUCUCAAAUUUGGCUAGAAAGUGACCCACUAGGCAGUCUGAGGCAGUUAUCCAGGAUGUAAGGAUGUGUGCAGUACUCUCUGUGUCGAAUGGCGAUGGCCUGACCUGCGGAUUUUGAAAGAUUGAAAUAGGAAGCCAGGUAUACAUACACAGCAACGAAUGCAGCGUGUUCUAUAUUCUUAAUUCGUAAGCCAAACCUAUGUUUAAGACGUAGUUUAUAUAACCGUACAUAUGUAUGUAGCGAAACACGUUUUCAAACGUCGCAUCGAAGCCAUUUCUUCUGCAGCCAUUGCAAUUUCAUCGUGUUGCGUAAUCGCAAAUUGUAAAUGUGUCCCUACUACUUCACAUUUGUGUGUAUCCAAGUCGAAAGUUCUCGAACUAUUCUCGUGAGCAACCCCCGGAUCGAAAGGCCACCAACUGGCUCGUUCUCUCUCUCCAGAAACAGCUUACUCUUACGUUUACAAUUGACUCUCUACCUAUCGGGUAUACACAUUUUUAUAUAUGUAUACACUCAGAGACACCCCAAUCCCCCACCAUACAUAUGGCGAGAUGUGUGAAUGUAUCGCAGUUGGACGAAAACGGCAGCUGCGCAGAAAACGCUGCGGCGUACAUACAAACGAGCUCUUUGUUUGCCUUUCCCCAGUUUUGCUUCCCCAUACGUAUAACUGGGUGUUUAUCAGCGGUAAUCUCGCCAGCCUGACUUUGUCCCUGUCGCUUCUAUUGACAUUCUAAACUAGAUUGUAGACGUUUUAACAUUUACCUAGCUGUUAAUCUUAUUUGUAAACAUCUCUAUAUGCAACCUGCCAUACCACUUAACCAAGCAAUAUGUAUUUCUUUCUCUAAACUUUAUAGUUGGGCGUUGAAAGUUGAUAUCGAUAUCGAUCCGUGAAAAGUCGAUACCCUGCGCAAGCAUGGGGCGGCAUAUGGGUGCUGAAAACGCACUCGGCCCGAUCCCGAUUGCAGCGUUAUUCGAAAGCUGUGUCUGCGACCGUGACUGAGAUCAUAUGCGUACAUAUAUCUAAUGUCCGGGGUCGUGGGCCAGCCAGGGUGCUCGAUUCUGUCAGAUUGAUUGUGCGGAUUGUGUUAUAGGAACACUGGUGUAUCGACUUCUCUGCUCCACUAUGGGUGAAGGAUACCCUACCGAAAAGGCCUUCUGUCGCUUACUAUCAUCGAACAAGUUCCGUAAAGGGCAGACAUACGUACACGUGGCAGCAUAUUACGUUCAAUGACACAUCGUCUCUGGAUUAGUAGUUGAACCAACGAGCUCGAAUAUACCCUGCCAGUUGGUUGUAAAUAUUAAUUUUGUUCUUAUAUUCAGUUGUAAAGUCAAUACGGAAGACAUUUCCACACCAACCAUGUGUCACUUAUGUUCUUAAAUACCAGAAACUGUUUAAAUUUUUGUUCUUAUACACUUCACCAAUUAAGAAUUACCUGUACUGAUGUAAGUGUACCUGUUGAAUCACAACAAAAAUAGAAAAAAUGAAUAACAAAAGAGCUCUAUAACAGAAAAGCCACAGAAAAAGUGAAUAAAAAAUUCAAAAAUUCAAAAAAU